GUCCACGCCGUAAAACGAUGAAUGCUAGCCGUUGGGGAGCUUGCUCUUCAGUGGCGCAGCUAACGCUUUAAGCAUUCCGCCUGGGGAGUACGGUCGCAAGAUUAAAAACUCAAAAGGAAUUGACGGGGGCCCGCACAAGCGGUGGAGCAUGUGGUUUAAUUCGAAGCAACGCGCAGAACCUUACCAGCUCUUGACAUGUCCCGUAUGGGUUCCGGAGACGGGAUCCUUCAGUUCGGCUGGCGGGAACACAGGUGCUGCAUGGCUGUCGU
Molecule: ribosomal RNA, 269 nt
Filed under: uncultured bacterium
Lineage: Bacteria
Description: partial 16S ribosomal RNA
Rfam family: Bacterial small subunit ribosomal RNA
Source: RNAcentral